Pecten maximus is the source of this 7060-nucleotide long non-coding RNA. RefSeq lists it as uncharacterized. Lineage: Eukaryota; Metazoa; Mollusca; Bivalvia; Pectinida; Pectinidae. The transcript has 3 exons. The record is from RefSeq and is a predicted model, not a curated record.
UAAGAUAUCGAUUUGGCAUGCAAUAUUCUGGUUCCUUUUUAUGGAGAGACCACUGCUAGCGUUCAACGUCUCCGGCUGACUACCCUGACAUUAGGCGUUUCUCAUGCGCUGGCAAUUGUGUGUCCAGCCACGUCGCCCAGAAGGCUGUUGACCGUUCUGUAUCAGCUGACGAGACCAAAUCCAUCAACAUCAGCCAGUUGUCAUUACACCCGGAUUCAUCAGCACUGACAGAGCUCCUGUCGCCGACAACCACAUGUCUCCAUCCUUGACGACCAGGCACGUUGGUACGGGUGCCAGACUUGCCUGCGUUACAUGAUGAACUACACACAGCUCCAUGUAUUGUUAGCAUGUGACAGCAUCGACUUUAAUUGAUUCCUGAUUUCUCUUACAACUGGAGACAACGGGAACAUGCAGGUCGAUCCUACGUACGCGUGUGUGUAAUCAAUGUUGGUACACCGAUAACAACGACAGUGUGUAAAGUAUACAUUUGGCGACAACACUGUGUCAGCGACAGAGGUAGCAGUGGGUACUCAUAUAUAUUUCAAUGCCAAAGACAAUUUAUUUGAAAGCCUUCACCAGCCGUGAAUCAGCUAGCAAAGCAUUGGCGCGUGAGAUUAAAAGAGAGCCAUUCUGAACGAUGUGUCUCCAAGUGUCAGAAUCGACCAUAUUCACUAGGAUCUGUACGUCCAUGAUAUAUGCGUAGUCUUUAUUUGCAGUGCAAUACUUUGACAUGUCGAGAUACGUGUUUAGAGUUUAAAACGAGUCUACGGGAUUACUGUGUGCACGUACAUGUUUUGCUAAGACAAUAACAUAAUAACUUAACAAACCAGGAGUUGUGUGCCCUUGGUGGUUAUAGUGACAUCGUACCAAGAGUUGUGUACCCUUGGUGGUUAAAGUGACAUCGUACCAAGAGUUGUGUGCCCUUGGUGGUUAUAGUUACAUCAUACCAAAAGUUGUGUACCCUUGGUGGUUAAAGUGACAUCGUACCAAGAGUUGUGUCCCCUUGGUGGUUAUAGUUACAUCAUAUCAAGAGUUGUGUGCCCUUGGUGGUUAUAGUUACAUCGUACCAAGAGUUGUGUCCCCUUGGUGGUUAAAGUGACAUCGUACCAAGAGUUGUGUACCCUUGGUGGUUAUAGUGACGUCAUGCCAAGAGUUAUGUGCCCUUGAUGGUUAAAGUGACAUCGUACCAAGAGUUGUGUGCCUUUGGUAUUUUAGAGUGACUUCAAACCAGGUGUUGUAUGCCCUUGGUAUUCAGAGUGAAAUUUAACCCUUGUUGUUUAAAGGGCAUCACAUUGUGGAUUCGUAAACGUUUUGUGUUUAGAUAGACAACCAGAGACUAGCUGAAAAUGUAAACCUUAUUAUUAUCAGUAAUACAUAACAUAGGAGACAUCAAAUUCGAUAUUCGCAAGACAUGGUUCUCAAUCAAUCUGGAAUAUAAAGAUGGCGACAAUGUUGGCGUACUGCAGCACUAUCGUGAUACAGGGAAUUUACCUACUGUGUCUUAUACAGACAAUAUCUGCUGAGAUUGACUGUUAUAAAUGCGAUUCUAAGAACAAUACUAAUCCUCACUGUGGAGACCCAUUCCAUCCUUACUACGGCAAGCUUGAGAAAAACUGUCGUCAGUCACGUGAUGGGAGGAGUGGAUUCUUCCCGGCGAGCUACUGCACCAAGAUAAGCGGCGUCAGUAUGACGGAUAACACAGUGACAGUGAUUCGAUCAUGCGCACUCGAAAGUUUGGAGAACAUGUGUGGUAUUUUUGACCUUGAGGGUGUCCGCUAUACUGGGUGUGUGCUGACCUGUGAUAGUGACGCUUGUAACGGAGCCCAAGGCUGGGGACGUCACUUCCUGGAAACUGGAAUCCUGGUGAUGCUGAGCAUCUUCUACAUCUUAUGAUAAUAAACCAAUAUAUAAGAACGGACAAAAUUACAUCAUUUUGAUGUUUCUGCAAGACGAGGUAUCCAUGUUACAAUGCUAAGCAGCCUAACAACAGUAGCCUAUGAGCAGUGGUCACAAAAUCAAUGUUCAUCAGAUAGGUGUUAUAAAAACACCAUCGUAUCAGCAUACGAGGAAACUUCAAAGGUUCUUUGCCAAGACUCUGACGCCAGUGAGCUAUGAUCAUUUCAUUUUCCGAAAUUUUGGCCCCCAGACCACUCGCCAAAAAAAAAAAAAAUCGUCUCGCGCCUAUGGCGCUCGCAUUACAACUAAAUUACUGGAACCCCCCACUUUCAAAUUCCUGGAUCCGCGCCUGGAGCUAAAACAUCGAGAUACAAUGUGAGAUUUUAGACUCCGACGUCAAGUAAGCUCACACAUCGAGGUACAAUGUGAGGAAACGUUCCUCACGAACAUAAGACAUAGCAUUUUUGUUUAUUUUUAUCAAAACUUGAUAUAUCUGCGAACAUUGCACAUGAAUGUGAUAUAGGUGUAGACCCAGGUAAAGAUAAUCUUACAGUACGGUUACAGACAUCGCUGCCUGCAAUGUUAAACAACGAGGUGCAAGGGUAUUACUCAACGAUUUUAGACAGUUCUUGUCCACUCCUGUUAUUACUCUGUACUGACUACAGUGUGUAGAUGAAGAAGGUAUUGUGGACAUGUGACAUGUGGACAUUGAUGGGCUUAGUUUUCCGCAGUUUUUUUCCAUUCCUACUCUCUGCUUGGCUUCGCUUCGAGAAUGCAGCGAACGCAGCCUAGCGGAAAAAAUACUGAAGUAAAACUGGAGAGUAACAAAAGCACCUUUCUGGCACAGAUUAGUUUUUAGCGGGAAUUUCACUUUAACUUGUUCGUUGGAUGCUUGCUAUGAGAGAGAGAUGUCGCUAGUUCGAGCCCCACCGCGGUCAGGUACUAAGGCAGGUGACCAUCCAAUGAAAGUUAUAGUCUUCCUUGGAGCAAAAGAACCUUCAAGGGUUAAUGUAUGUGGAUGUCUUCGGGGGCGAAGACGUUGUGAAGGAGGCAGUAGUGUAAAAAUAGAGAGUAAUAAGGUCACCUCACUGCUUAGGAUAGCCCCACCGCGGGCAGGGUAUUACUACUUCCUUGUACACUAAUGUAUGUAAUCUAGUCUACUUCUGCUGCAGGAAGUGUGGUCACAUAUUGACUUUUGUAUAUUAAUGGUUUUGUUGUCAUCUGGUGUUGUUGGUAGAUGAAAUUCCAUCAAUGUUUCCUCUUAUAAAGUAGCGAUGUAGUCAGUUUAGGUUGGAUCCAAAGGGAAAUAUAUAUGAUAAUGAUAUGAUAUGCACCAUUUUUACUUUGUCACAAGCCCCGUUGAAGUCUUCAAACAUGCACUUUUCAUUUUAAUUUUAACUCACAAUACGUCACUCAGAGACUCACUAACUAUAAUAAUGUGCAUUUAUUUGUAGACCGAGACAAGGAAUAAAGGACAUGUCAAACAUGCAGAUCUAAUUUAACUGGUUACGUCAAAGUCCUUGUGUUCUUUGUGGGCCGCGACAGCUCAGUGGGAUGGAGCGCCUGCCAUCUCGGGUGAAGGUUUGUUUCUUUGGAAGCUGGGAAUCGGACCGGUCUGUGUUUUCUGAUUGUGUCCUUGGGCAAUUGCAAGAUCAUGCGACGGGCCUCCCGUAUGUUGUUCAGAGAGUAGUCACCAAGUACUACAAGGAGACCCCGCCUCAAAAUGACCCUAACUGUUCAAGGGGCGAUAAACCCAACAAAAAAAAGAAAAAAAGAGUCUUUUACUUCGUCUAGCUACAAUAUGUUUUUGGAGUCUAAAUGUAUAUGAGUAUACAUCUAUCUAUAAACAUUAUGUAUAUAUGUACUUGGUUACAGGUACAUGUGAUACAUGUGGACCCAGGUAGAAUUGGAGCCUGAUAGGACUCCAGGUAAACUUGGAGUCUAGCCACGCCCUUUAUAUCUGUUUCUGGCUCCAUUACCGUUUAGCCACGCCCUUUAUGUCUGUUUCUGGAUCCAUUACUGUCUAGCCACGCUCUUUAUGUCUGUUUCUGGCUCCAUUACUAUAUGACCACGCCCUUUAUAUCUGUUUCUGGUUCCAUUACCGUUUAGCCACGCCCUUUAUGUCUGUUUCUGGCUCCAUUACCGUCUAGCCACGCCCUUUAUGUCUGUUUCUGGCUCCAUUACUAUAUGACCACGCCCUUUAUAUCUGUUUCUGGUUCCAUUACCGUUUAGCCACGCCCUUUAUGUCUGUUUCUGGCUCCAUUACCGUCUAACCAUUCCCUUUAUGUCUGUUUCUGGCUCCAUUACCGUCUAGCCACGCCCUUUAUGUCUGUUUCUGGCUCCAUUACCGUCUAGCCACGCCCUUUAUGUCUGUUUCUGGCUCCAUUACCGUCUAGCCACGCCCUUUAUGUCUGUUUCUGGAUCCAUCACCGUUUAGCCACGCCCUUUAUGUUUGUUUCUGGCUCCAUUACCGUUUAGCCACGCCCUUUAUGUCUGUUUCUGGCUCCAUUACUGUCUGAUCGCCCUUUUAUGUCUGUUUCUAGUUCCAUUACUGUCUCCCUUUAUGUCUGUUUCUGGCUCCAUUACUGUCUGACCACGCCCUUUACGUCUUUUUCUGGCUCCAUUACUGUCUGACCACGGCCUUUAUGUAGGAUUAUGUCUGUUUCUGAUCCCCUUUUCAUCUGGCAAAGCCCUUUAUCACCGUUUCUCAAUCUCAUUAGAAUUAGACUUGUAAUUUCUGCUUCUCUGUGAUACAUUGCAAUAUAAUACUUUAUUGCAGUGUAUCGCAGAGGAGAGGACAUUACAUGUCUAAUUUUAAUAAGAUUGCAUCGUCUUUUUUAUCCUAUUGCUGUGUAUAGUCACGCAUUUUGUCUCCAUUCCUGAAUCCAUUGUUGUCUCAAGUCACGCCCUUCAUCUCCGUUUCUAACACCGUGACAGUCUCGCCUCGCAUUAUAUCUCUGUUUAUGACCCCAUUGCUAUCGCUAGCAACUCCCUGUAUCUCUUUUUCUGAACCUAUUACCAUACGGCCAAGCCCCUAAUCUCCGUUUCUGACACCGUGACAGUCUCGCCACGCAUUUUAUCUCCGAUUAUGACCCCAUUGCUCUCCAUAGCAACGCAUUUUAUCUCUGUUUUGGACCCUAUUACCAUAUGGUUACUAGUUAUACUACAUGUCUAGCCUGUUGGAGGAGUUUGACAGUCCCUGGUUACUAGUUAUAGUUAAUGUCAGGUUUGUUGGAGGAGUUUGACAGUCCCUGGUUACUAGUUAUAGUUAAUAUCUGGUCUGUUGGAGGAGUUUGACAGUCCCUGGUUACUAGUUAUAGUUAAUGUAUAGUAUGUUGGAGGAGUUUGACAGUCCCUGGUUACUAGUUAUAGUUAAUGCCUGGUCUGUUGGAGGAGUUUGACAGUCCCUGGUUACUAGUUAUAGUUAAUGCCUGGUCUGUUGGAGGAGUUUGACAGUCCCUGGUUACUAGUUAUAGUUAAUGCCUGGUCUGUUGGAGGAGUUUGACAGUCCCUGGUUACUAGUUAUAGUUAAUGCCUGGUCUGUUGGAGGAGUUUGACGGUCCCUGGUUACUAGUUAUAGUUAAUGCCUGGUCUGUUUGAGGAGUUUGACAGUCCCUGGUUACUAGUUAUAGUUAAUGCCUGGUCUGUUGGAGGAGUUUGACAGUCCCUGGUUACUAGUUAUAGUUAAUGCCUGGUCUGUUGGAGGAGUUUGACAGUCCCUGGUUACUAGUUAUAGUUAAUAUCUGGUCUGUUGGAGGAGUUUGACAGUCCCUGGUUACUAGUUAUAGUUAAUGCCUGGUCUGUUUGAGGAGUUUGACAGUCCCUGGUUACUAGUUAUAGUUAAUGCCUGGUCUGUUGGGGGAGUUUGACAGUCCCUGGUUACUAGUUAUAGUUAAUGCCUGGUCUGUUGGAGGAGUUUGACAGUCCCUGGUUACUAGUUAUAGUUAAUGCCUGGUCUGUUUGAGGCGUUUGACAGUCCCUGGUUACUAGUUAUAGUUAAUGCCUGGUCUGUUGGAGGAGUUUGACAGUCCCUGGUUACUAGUUAUAGUUAAUGCCUGGUCUGUUGGAGGAGUUUGACAGUCCCUGGUUACUAGUUAUAGUUAAUGUAUAGUCUGUUGGAGGAGUUUUGACAGUCCCUGGUUACUAGUUAUAGUUAAUGCCUGGUCUGUUGGAGGAGUUUUGACAGUCCCCGGUUACUAGUUACUAGUGUAUAGUAUGUUGGAGGAGUUUUGACAGUCCCUGGUUACUAGUUACUAGUUAAUGUAUAGUAUGUUGGAGUAGUUUGACAGUCCCCGGUUACUAGUUACUAGUUAAUGUAUAGUAUGUUGGAGGAGUUUUGACAGUCCCUGGUUACUAGUUAUAGUUAAUGUAUAGUAUGUUGGAGGAGUUUGACAGUCCUUGGUUACUAGUUACUAGUUAAUGUAUAGUAUGUUGGAGGAGUUUUGACAGUCCCUGGUUACUAGUUACUAGUUAAUGUAUAGUAUGUUGGAGUAGUUUGACAGUCCCCGGUUACUAGUUACUAGUUAAUGUAUAGUAUGUUGGAGGAGUUUUGACAGUCCCUGGUUACUAGUUAUAGUUAAUGUAUAGUAUGUUGGAGGAGUUUGACAGUCCCUGGUUACUAGUUAUAGUUAAUGUAUAGUAUGUUGGAGGAGUUUGACAGUCCCUGGUUACUAGUUAUAGUUAAUGUAUAGUAUGUUGGAGGAGUUUUGACAGUCCCUGGUUACUAGUUAUAGUUAAUGUAUAGUAUGUUGGAGGAGUUUGACAGUCCCUGUUUACUAGUUAUAGUUAAUGUCUGUCUGUUGAACAUCCCGACCUCUUGCAUGAACGUUUUUGAUAUUCCAACGAAACAUAAUUAUUAUUAUGGUGACACGAGUUGGCUAGAGCGGUUCGUUUAAAACUCCGCUGUAGUUUUUUGGCGAACUUAAUGUGUAAUAUUAUACUGAUUUUGAACAUAUCGAUAUGUUAUUCCAUGUACUUCUAAUCAAAACCUGAUUAUCUCUCCUGAUGGGGAACACUGAGUUUAUCAGAUAGGACGUCUCCAUGGCGCACAUACUGUUAUUUGUGAUACAUUAUUGCUAUCUUAUUUUCCUAGAUUAUUUACGAUAUCAUUAUAAUAUCUACUUUAGAUGUAAUUAAAAAAUACAGAUCUUCACAAUGCACACUG